This 806-nucleotide ribosomal RNA is filed under the name uncultured Rhodospirillaceae bacterium. RNAcentral's name for it is "bacterial SSU rRNA". It matches the Rfam family "Bacterial small subunit ribosomal RNA", at positions 45 to 883 of the family's 1533-position model. Lineage: Bacteria; Pseudomonadati; Pseudomonadota; Alphaproteobacteria; Rhodospirillales; Rhodospirillaceae. The record is from RNAcentral.
GGCCUAACACAUGCAAGUCGAACGAAGGCCCGGAGCUUGCUCCGGUAACCUUAGUGGCGGACGGGUGAGUAACACGUGGGAAUUUGCCCAGGAGUGGGGAAUAACGUUUGGAAACGAACGCUAAUACCGCAUACACCCUUAGGGGGAAAGGCUUCGGCCGCUCUUGGAUAAGCCCGCGUCAGAUUAGCUUGUUGGUGAGGUAAUGGCUCACCAAGGCUACGAUCUGUAGCUGGUCUGAGAGGAUGAUCAGCCACACUGGGACUGAGACACGGCCCAGACUCCUACGGGAGGCAGCAGUGGGGAAUAUUGGACAAUGGGGGAAACCCUGAUCCAGCCAUGCCGCGUGAGUGAAGAAGGCCUUAGGGUUGUAAAACUCUUUCAGUCGUGACGAUGAUGACGGUAACGACAGAAGAAGCCCCGGCUAACUCCGUGCCAGCAGCCGCGGUAAUACGGAGGGGGCUAGCGUUGUUCGGAAUUACUGGGCGUAAAGCGCACGUAGGCUGUUAAUCAAGUUAGAGGUGAAAGGCCUGGGCUCAACCUGGGAACUGCCUUUAAUACUGGUUAGCUAGAGUCCGGGAGAGGGUAGCGGAAUUCCAAGUGUAGAGGUGAAAUUCGUAGAUAUUUGGAAGAACAUCAGUGGCGAAGGCGGCUACCUGGACCGGUACUGACGCUGAGGUGCGAAAGCGUGGGGAGCGAACAGGAUUAGAUACCCUGGUAGUCCACGCCGUAAACGAUGAGUGCUAGAUGUCGGGGUCUAAGAUUUCGGUGUCGAAGCUAACGCGUUAAGCACUCCGCCUGGGGAGUAC